CGUUAAGAAGCUAUGAAACAGCGCUAGCCUUUUAAGCUAGAGAUAGAGGAACCCCCCUCCUCCUUAAUGA
Molecule: transfer RNA, 70 nt
Filed under: Myadestes myadestinus (kamao)
Lineage: Eukaryota; Metazoa; Chordata; Aves; Passeriformes; Turdidae
Description: tRNA-Lys
Source: RNAcentral